This 1990-nucleotide ribosomal RNA is filed under the name Streptococcus mitis. RNAcentral describes it as "bacterial LSU rRNA". It matches the Rfam family "Bacterial large subunit ribosomal RNA", at positions 3 to 2016 of the family's 2925-position model. The record is from RNAcentral. Lineage: Bacteria; Bacillati; Bacillota; Bacilli; Lactobacillales; Streptococcaceae.
UUAAGUUAAUAAGGGCGCACGGUGGAUGCCUUGGCACUAGGAGCCGAAGAAGGACGUGACAAACGACGAUAUGCCUUGGGUAGCUGUAAGUAAGCGAUGAUCCAGGGAUUUCCGAAUGGGGGAACCCAACAGGUACUACCUGUUACCCGCAUCUGUUAAGGAUGUGAGGAGGAAGACGCAGUGAACUGAAACAUCUAAGUAGCUGCAGGAAGAGAAAGCAAAAGCGAUUGCCUUAGUAGCGGCGAGCGAAACGGCAGAAGGGCAAACCGGAGAGUUUACUCUUCGGGGUUGUAGGACUGCAAUGUGGACUCAAAGAUUAUAGAAGAAUGAUUUGGGAAGAUCAGCCAAAGAGAGUAAUAGCCUCGUAUUUAAAAUAGUCUUUGUACCUAGCAGUAUCCUGAGUACGGCGGGACACGUGAAAUCCCGUCGGAAUCUGGGAGGACCAUCUCCCAACCCUAAAUACUCCCUAGUGACCGAUAGUGAACCAGUACCGUGAGGGAAAGGUGAAAAGCACCCCGGGAGGGGAGUGAAAUAGAACCUGAAACCGUGUGCCUACAACAAGUUCGAGCCCGUUAAUGGGUGAGAGCGUGCCUUUUGUAGAAUGAACCGGCGAGUUACGUUAUGAUGCGAGGUUAAGUUGAAGAGACGGAGCCGUAGGGAAACCGAGUCUGAAUAGGGCGGAUUAGUAUCAUGACGUAGACCCGAAACCAUGUGACCUACCCAUGAGCAGGUUGAAGGUGCGGUAAGACGCACUGGAGGACCGAACCAGGGCACGUUGAAAAGUGCUUGGAUGACUUGUGGGUAGCGGAGAAAUUCCAAACGAACUUGGAGAUAGCUGGUUCUCUCCGAAAUAGCUUUAGGGCUAGCGUCGACAUUAGAGAUUCUUGGAGGUAGAGCACUGUUUGGGUGAGGGGUCCAUCCCGGAUUACCAAUCUCAGAUAAACUCCGAAUGCCAAUGAAUUAUGGUCGGCAGUCAGACUGCGAGUGCUAAGAUCCGUAGUCGAAAGGGAAACAGCCCAGACCACCAGCUAAGGUCCCAAAAUAAUUGUUAAGUGGAAAAGGAUGUGGGGUUGCACAGACAACUAGGAUGUUAGCUUAGAAGCAGCUAUUCAUUCAAAGAGUGCGUAAUAGCUCACUAGUCGAGUGACCCUGCGCCGAAAAUGUACCGGGGCUAAAACAAUUUACCGAAGCUGUGGAUACCUUUAUAGGUAUGGUAGGAGAGCGUUCUAUGUGUGAUGAAGGUAUACCGUGAGGAGUGCUGGAACGCAUAGAAGUGAGAAUGCCGGUAUGAGUAGCGAAAGACAGGUGAGAAUCCUGUCCACCGUAAGACUAAGGUUUCCAGGGGAAGGCUCGUCCGCCCUGGGUUAGUCGGGACCUAAGGAGAGACCGAAAGGUGUAUCCGAUGGACAACAGGUUGAUAUUCCUGUACUAGAGUAUGUAGUGAUGGAGGGACGCAGUAGGCUAACUAAAGCAGACGAUUGGAAGUGUCUGUCUAAGCAGUGAGGUGUGAUAUGAGUCAAAUGCUUAUAUCUAUAACAUUGAGCUGUGAUGGGGAGCGAAGUUUAGUAGCGAAGUUAGUGACGUCACACUGCCAAGAAAAGCUUCUAGCGUUUAAGCAUACUCUACCCGUACCGCAAACCGACACAGGUAGUCGAGGCGAGUAGCCUCAGGUGAGCGAGAGAACUCUCGUUAAGGAACUCGGCAAAAUGACCCCGUAACUUCGGGAGAAGGGGUGCUGACUUUAAGUCAGCCGCAGUGAAUAGGCCCAAGCAACUGUUUAUCAAAAACACAGCUCUCUGCUAAAUCGUAAGAUGAUGUAUAGGGGGUGACGCCUGCCCGGUGCUGGAAGGUUAAGAGGAGUGCUUAGCGUAAGCGAAGGUAUGAAUUGAAGCCCCAGUAAACGGCGGCCGUAACUAUAACGGUCCUAAGGUAGCGAAAUUCCUUGUCGGGUAAGUUCCGACCCGCACGAAAGGCGUAAUGAUUUGGGCAC